AGAGAUUGAACUGAAGAGUUUGAUCCUGGCUCAGAUUGAACGCUGGCGGAAUGCUUUACACAUGCAAGUCGAACGGCAGCACGGGGGCUU
RNAcentral lists this ribosomal RNA (90 nucleotides) under Thiobacillus denitrificans. RNAcentral's name for it is "partial 16S ribosomal RNA". It matches the Rfam family "Bacterial small subunit ribosomal RNA", at positions 1 to 83 of the family's 1533-position model. Lineage: Bacteria; Pseudomonadati; Pseudomonadota; Betaproteobacteria; Nitrosomonadales; Thiobacillaceae. The record is from RNAcentral.